UCGAGAAUCUUCCGCAAUGGACGAAAGUCUGACGGAGCGACGCCGCGUGCGGGAUGAAGGCCCUUGGGUUGUAAACCGCUUUCGGAGGGGAUGAAAUCUCUGAGGGUACUCCCUCAGAGUUGACAGAGCCUCAAAAGAAGCACGGGCUAAGUACGUGCCAGCAGCCGCGGUAACACGUACUGUGCGAGCGUUAUUCGGAAUCACUGGGCUUAAAGGGUGCGUAGGCGGCAAUCCAAGUCAGAUGUGAAAU
This 250-nucleotide ribosomal RNA is filed under the name uncultured bacterium. RNAcentral's name for it is "partial 16S ribosomal RNA". It matches the Rfam family "Bacterial small subunit ribosomal RNA", at positions 355 to 600 of the family's 1533-position model. The record is from RNAcentral.